AACGAACGCUGGCGGCAGGCCUAAAACAUGCAAGUCGAACGAUGUAGCAAUACAUAGUGGCGCACGGGUGAGUAACACGUGGGAACAUACCCUUUGGUGCGGAACAACGUCGGGAAACCGACGCUAAUACCGCAUAAUAUCUACGGAUCAAAGAUUUAUCGCCAAGGGAUUGGCCCGCGCUAGAUUAGGUAGUUGGUGAG
Molecule: ribosomal RNA, 200 nt
Filed under: uncultured bacterium
Lineage: Bacteria
Description: partial 16S ribosomal RNA
Rfam family: Bacterial small subunit ribosomal RNA
Source: RNAcentral